This 315-nucleotide long non-coding RNA is filed under the name Homo sapiens (human). RNAcentral's name for it is "HSALNT0085753". Lineage: Eukaryota; Metazoa; Chordata; Mammalia; Primates; Hominidae. The record is from RNAcentral.
GCACACGUGCCGGCUGCGUGCAAGGCUCCUGCUGAACCGGAUGUACUGCACACGGCUUCCGCUGCAGGCACCUGCAUCUGGACUAUGGAAAAGCUGUGGUGACCCGAAGCUGCCAUGUAAGAAAGGUGGGGACCUAAAUCACAAUGUCAUCAUAAGAAGAUAGAGAGAGACACAAGGAAUGCACAAAGAAAAGGCACGUGAAGACACAGGGAGAAGGCAGCCAUAUGCAAGCCAGUGAGAGAAGCCUACCAACAUGGUGCAUUGCUCUUGAAGGCCCAGCCUCCAGAACUGUGAGAAAACAAAUCUCUGUUUCUG